AUUGAACGCUGGCGGCAUGCUUUACACAUGCAAGUCGAACGGUAACAGGCCUUCGGGUGCUGACGAGUGGCGAACGGGUGAGUAAUGCAUCGGAACGUGCCCAAUCGUGGGGGAUAACGUAGCGAAAGUUACGCUAAUACCGCAUGAGCCCUGAGGGGGAAAGCAGGGGAUCGCAAGACCUUGCGCGAAUGGAGCGGCCGAUGUCAGAUUAGCUAGUUGGUGGGGUAAAGGCCUACCAAGGCGACGAUCUGUAGCGGGUCUGAGAGGAUGAUCCGCCACACUGGGACUGAGACACGGCCCAGACUCCUACGGGAGGCAGCAGUGGGGAAUUUUGGACAAUGGGCGCAAGCCUGAUCCAGCCAUGCCGCGUGCGGGACGAAGGCCUUCGGGUUGUAAACCGCUUUCAACCGAAGAAUACGCCAAGGCUAAUAUCCUUGGUGGAUGACGGUACCGGAAGAAGAAGCACCGGCUAACUACGUGCCAGCAGCCGCGGUAAAGU
This 499-nucleotide ribosomal RNA is filed under the name uncultured bacterium. RNAcentral describes it as "bacterial SSU rRNA". It matches the Rfam family "Bacterial small subunit ribosomal RNA", at positions 29 to 526 of the family's 1533-position model. The record is from RNAcentral.